GAUGAACGCUGGCGGCGUGCCUAAUACAUGCAAGUCGAGCGAACGGACGAGAAGCUUGCUUCUCUGAUGUUAGCGGCGGACGGGUGAGUAACACGUGGAUAACCUACCUAUAAGACUGGGAUAACUUCGGGAAACCGGAGCUAAUACCGGAUAAUAUUUUGAACCGCAUGGUUCAAAAGUGAAAGACGGUCUUGCUGUCACUUAUAGAUGGAUCCGCGCUGCAUUAGCUAGUUGGUAAGGUAACGGCUUACCAAGGCAACGAUGCAUAGCCGACCUGAGAGGGUGAUCGGCCACACUGGAACUGAGACACGGUCCAGACUCCUACGGGAGGCAGCAGUAGGGAAUCUUCCGCAAUGGGCGAAAGCCUGACGGAGCAACGCCGCGUGAGUGAUGAAGGUCUUCGGAUCGUAAAACUCUGUUAUUAGGGAAGAACAUAUGUGUAAGUAACUGUGCACAUCUUGACGGUACCUAAUCAGAAAGCCACGGCUAACUACGUGCCAGCAGCCGCGGUAAUACGUAGGUGGCAAGCGUUAUCCGGAAUUAUUGGGCGUAAAGCGCGCGUAGGCGGUUUUUUAAGUCUGAUGUGAAAGCCCACGGCUCAACCGUGGAGGGUCAUUGGAAACUGGAAAACUUGAGUGCAGAAGAGGAAAGUGGAAUUCCAUGUGUAGCGGUGAAAUGCGCAGAGAUAUGGAGGAACACCAGUGGCGAAGGCGACUUUCUGGUCUGUAACUGACGCUGAUGUGCGAAAGCGUGGGGAUCGAACAGGAUUAGAUACCCUGGUAGUCCACGCCGUAAACGAUGAGUGCUAAGUGUUAGGGGGUUUCCGCCCCUUAGUGCUGCAGCUAACGCAUUAAGCACUCCGCCUGGGGAGUACGACCGCAAGGUUGAAACUCAAAGGAAUUGACGGGGACCCGCACAAGCGGUGGAGCAUGUGGUUUAAUUCGAAGCAACGCGAAGAACCUUACCAAAUCUUGACAUCCUUUGACAACUCUAGAGAUAGAGCCUUCCCCUUCGGGGGACAAAGUGACAGGUGGUGCAUGGUUGUCGUCAGCUCGUGUCGUGAGAUGUUGGGUUAAGUCCCGCAACGAGCGCAACCCUUAAGCUUAGUUGCCAUCAUUAAGUUGGGCACUCUAAGUUGACUGCCGGUGACAAACCGGAGGAAGGUGGGGAUGACGUCAAAUCAUCAUGCCCCUUAUGAUUUGGGCUACACACGUGCUACAAUGGACAAUACAAAGGGCAGCGAAACCGCGAGGUCAAGCAAAUCCCAUAAAGUUGUUCUCAGUUCGGAUUGUAGUCUGCAACUCGACUACAUGAAGCUGGAACCGCUAGUAAUCGUAGAUCAGCAUGCUACGGUGAAUACGUUCCCGGGUCU
RNAcentral lists this ribosomal RNA (1372 nucleotides) under uncultured bacterium. Its description in RNAcentral is "bacterial SSU rRNA". It matches the Rfam family "Bacterial small subunit ribosomal RNA", at positions 28 to 1381 of the family's 1533-position model. The record is from RNAcentral.